Molecule: ribosomal RNA, 484 nt
Filed under: uncultured bacterium
Lineage: Bacteria
Description: partial 16S ribosomal RNA
Rfam family: Bacterial small subunit ribosomal RNA
Source: RNAcentral
AUUGAACGCUGGCGGCAGGCCUAACACAUGCAAGUCGAGCGGAUGAAGGGAGCUUGCUCCUGGAUUCAGCGGCGGACGGGUGAGUAAUGCCUAGGAAUCUGCCUGUUAGUGGGUGAUAACGUCCGGAAACGGGCGCUAAUACCGCAUACGUCCUGAGGGAGAAAGUGGGGGAUCUUCGGACCUCACGCUAUCAGAUGAGCCUAGGUCGGAUUAGCUAGUUGGUGGGGUAAAGGCCUACCAAGGCGACGAUCCGUAACUGGUCUGAGAGGAUGAUCAGUCACACUGGAACUGAGACACGGUCCAGACUCCUACGGGAGGCAGCAGUGGGGAAUAUUGGACAAUGGGCGAAAGCCUGAUCCAGCCAUGCCGCGUGUGUGAAGAAGGUCUUCGGAUUGUAAAGCACUUUAAGUUGGGAGGAAGGGCAGUAAGUUAAUACCUUGCUGUUUUGACGUUACCAACAGAAUAAGCACCGGCUAACUUCGUG